GGAAAUGUGUCCACGUAUCUGAUCGCAUUGUCUCACUGCCUUCCAGUUGCAUCUCUACUGAGGGACCAAAGGGAACGAGUCCAGCGCGACACCAGCAACACUCCUGAAGAUCAUAUUGAAUAUGCCUCCGUGAAUUGGGUGGGAAGCUCC
This is a long non-coding RNA of Mauremys mutica (yellowpond turtle), 150 nucleotides long. RefSeq lists it as uncharacterized. The record is from RefSeq and is a predicted model, not a curated record. The transcript has 3 exons. Lineage: Eukaryota; Metazoa; Chordata; Testudines; Geoemydidae.